CCUACGGGAGGCUGCAGUGGGGAAUAUUGCACAAUGGGGGAAACCCUGAUGCAGCGACGCCGCGUGCGUGAAGAAGUAUUUCGGUAUGUAAAGCUCUAUCAGCAGGGAAGAAAAAAGACGGUACCUGACUAAGAAGCCACGGCUAACUACGUGCCAGCAGCCGCGGUAAUACGUAGGUGGCGAGCGUUAUCCGGAUUCACUGGGUGUAAAGGGAGCGUAGACGGCCAUGCAAGCCAGGGGUGAAAGCCCGGGGCCCAACCCCGGGACUGCCCGUGGAACUGCAUGGCUGGAGUGCGGGAGGGGCAGGCGGAAUUCCUGGGGUAGCGGUGAAAUGCGUAGAUAUCAGGAGGAACACCGGCGGCGAAGGCGGCCUGCUGGACCGCGACUGACGUUGAGGCUCGAAAGCGUGGGGAGCGAACAGGAUUAGAUACCCCAGUAGUC
RNAcentral lists this ribosomal RNA (441 nucleotides) under uncultured bacterium. RNAcentral describes it as "partial 16S ribosomal RNA". It matches the Rfam family "Bacterial small subunit ribosomal RNA", at positions 338 to 795 of the family's 1533-position model. The record is from RNAcentral.